GCCGGGCGUGGUGGCGCGUGCCUGUAGUCCCAGCUACUUGGGAGGCUGAGGCUGGAGGAUCCCUUGAGUCCAGGAGUUCCGGGCUGCAGUGCACUAUGCCGAUCGGGUGUCCACACUAAAUUCAGCAUCAAUAUGGUGACCUCCUGGGAUCAGGGACCACCAGGUUACCUAAGGAGGGGUGAACUGGCCCCGGUUGGAAAUAGAGUGGGUCAAAACUCCCGUGCUGAUCAGUAGUGGGAUUGCACCUGUGAAUAGCCACUGCAGUCUAGCCUGGGCAACAUAGCAAGACCCCAUCUCU
Molecule: signal recognition particle RNA, 298 nt
Filed under: Saimiri boliviensis boliviensis (Bolivian squirrel monkey)
Lineage: Eukaryota; Metazoa; Chordata; Mammalia; Primates; Cebidae
Description: Metazoan signal recognition particle RNA (ENSSBOG00000006003.1)
Rfam family: Metazoan signal recognition particle RNA
About the family: The signal recognition particle (SRP) is a universally conserved ribonucleoprotein. It is involved in the co-translational targeting of proteins to membranes. The eukaryotic SRP consists of a 300-nucleotide 7S RNA and six proteins: SRPs 72, 68, 54, 19, 14, and 9.
Source: RNAcentral